This 78-nucleotide transfer RNA is filed under the name Actinomycetota bacterium. RNAcentral's name for it is "Actinobacteria bacterium tRNA-Met". It matches the Rfam family "tRNA". From Rfam's summary of the family: Transfer RNA (tRNA) molecules are approximately 80 nucleotides in length. Their secondary structure includes four short double-helical elements and three loops (D, anti-codon, and T loops). Further hydrogen bonds mediate the characteristic L-shaped molecular structure. tRNAs have two regions of fundamental functional importance: the anti-codon, which is responsible for specific mRNA codon recognition, and the 3' end, to which the tRNAs corresponding amino acid is attached (by aminoacyl-tRNA synthetases). tRNAs cope with the degeneracy of the genetic code in two manners: having more than one tRNA (with a specific anti-codon) for a particular amino acid; and 'wobble' base-pairing, i.e. permitting non-standard base-pairing at the 3rd anti-codon position. The record is from RNAcentral. Lineage: Bacteria; Bacillati; Actinomycetota.
UGCGGGGUAGCCAAGUGGUAAGGCGCCGGCCUCAUAAGCCGGGAAAUGCGCGGGUUCGAAUCCCGCCCCCGCUACCCA